RNAcentral lists this ribosomal RNA (253 nucleotides) under uncultured bacterium. Its description in RNAcentral is "partial 16S ribosomal RNA". It matches the Rfam family "Bacterial small subunit ribosomal RNA", at positions 524 to 776 of the family's 1533-position model. The record is from RNAcentral.
UACAGAGGGGGCAAGCGUUGUCCGGAUUCAUUGGGCGUAAAGAGCGUGUAGGCGGCCAGGUAGGUCGGUUGUGAAAACUGGAGGCUCAACCUUCAGAGGUCGACCGAAACCAUCUGGCUAGAGUCCGGGAGAGGAGAGUGGAAUUCCUGGUGUAGCGGUGAAAUGCGCAGAUAUCAGGAGGAACACCGGUGGCGAAGGCGGUUCUCUGGGCAUUACCUGACGCUGAGGAGCGAAAGUGUGGGGAGCGAACAGG